Long non-coding RNA from Numida meleagris (helmeted guineafowl), 1838 nucleotides. RefSeq lists it as uncharacterized. The transcript has 5 exons. NCBI's taxonomy places the organism in Eukaryota, Metazoa, Chordata, Aves, Galliformes, Numididae. The record is from RefSeq and is a predicted model, not a curated record.
UCCUAGACCUCAUUUAAGGGUUGGCAGUGGAGGGGAGAGGACCUCUCUGGAGAUCCUUGUGUUCCUGAGGUCUGCUGAAGGGGAUAUAACGUCAAUUCUGCAACAGCGGGAAGGACGAGCGCCGCCUCCCCUCACCUCGCCCCGCCUCCCUCACCUCAGGGGAGCCGCGAAGGCCACGCCCCGGGCGGCCGCUGGGGGAGCGGCUAUGGAGCCUCUGGGGUCCUGCUGCUCUCAAGUCACCGUAAGGCUGAGCGUCGUCGAGCUCCGCUGCGAACGGGACUGGGCUGCGCCUGGAGCAGCCCUGGCGCCGGCUGCGAACGUAGCGGGCACGUCAUGGCUGCUGCCCGCGGAGGGCGGCUGUGCCCGGCCCGCCAAGGGGAGCUGCCGCCGCCGCCCUGAGGGGAGCUGGCUGCCCCGUGGCCGAGGUACUUGUGUACAUGUGUAUGUCAGUGUGCUUAUACACACGAUGAAGAACUGGAGGAUAAAAAUUGGAUGAGUUAUUUCCACUUCGAGGAACAAUAUGGAAUCCCCGAACACUGGUGUUGCCCAUGUCAGCUGAAGAGCCAGUACCUGAGUGAAGGCAGCAGCUGCUGUGCUGGGUCAUCAUGCUGCAGAAUAUUGAUCAGAAAGCAUGUCCAGAAGCUCUGGAUAACUCCUAACUCUUGUCCAAACCAUGGAAAUAAUCAGUUGAAACUGCAAGAGGAGGAUGAAAAAGAAGAUAUAUGUCAAGUAAAUGAUUGGGGGGGAAAAUGUAAGAAGGGAAAACUCUAAGAAGAAGUGAGGAAGAACAUAAAUUUUUAUUGCUGAGGUAAGAGCAGUGCAAGGAACUGAGUGGUGAAUGGUUUUGAAAGGAAUAUUUGAUUUCUUUUAGGAUUUGGAAGUAUCUUUUGCAGGGAUAGGAGGGGGGAAUGGUGACUUACGACUAUUAAAAGAUGCCAUUGUUCACCUUCCCAGGAACUUCUGCCCCCAGUGUAGCUUGUAUAGUUGAGAUGUUCUAAGGGUUACCUGAAUUGCUUAUAACUAAUUUUCACGUUUUAAUUUUAAUUUGAAUGUAUUGCAUUUAUGACUAAAGAAUUUUUUUGCAUGCAAGCACUUGAGUCAUCAAUGCUAUAUUAUACUGCUUUCAUCAUUAUGUAAAUCUUUGUGUUCAGAGAAUUACAUAUGGGAAACAUGGUUGUUCAGAUCUUUAUGUACGCUGUGUAACCAGAAGCCACAAGGAUAAUUUAUAGAUGUUAAACUGAAACAAGUUCACUUUGUCUUUUGUUCUGUUUCAAAGCUGCUAUGAAAGGAGGGUUGAGAGCAUCAGGUCUGGUUUUCUUGUCAGACCCUCUGUUUGUUGCAGCCCUGGCACUUUGGCUUUUUUCACACUAGUGGGUGAUGCAGCCCCAAGGAGGAGGAAAGCCUGGUUUUGCAUUUUGGGACAGAGUACAGUGCUAUUGCUAUGGCACUAUUCUCAACUCUCACAUCAAGCAUGAAGACUUGUUGGCAGAAUCAGGAACUGUGUUUCACAGAGCUGUGCUCUUUCCUCCUGGACUCUUUUUACCUCCUUUUGUAUAAGAUAACCAUGCUUUACAAAGUGUUGUUUUUUAGUUGAGUUUCCUUUUUUCCUGUUCCAGAGUAACUGAAACCAUGUGGAUUCUCAUUUCUCCUUAGAUGACUAUUUUCAGCUUCUGUUGUUGCAGACAGAAAACAUGCUAGAGAUAAAUGUGGAAACACAUGUUUAAAUAAUGGAUUGGAUUACAGUCAGUGGUUAUUGAAGAAUAAUUUACUGAUAUAAUUAAAAACGGGCUCUUUGUGAGCAAAUAAUACAAUAAAACUUACCUGAAGGAUUUAAACAA